GGACAAUGGGGGAAACCCUGAUCCAGCCAUCCCGCGUGUGUGAUGAAGGCCUUCGGGUUGUAAAGCACUUUUGGCAGGAAAGAAACGUCAUGGGUUAAUACCCCGUGAAACUGACGGUACCUGCAGAAUAAGCACCCGGCUAACUACGUGCCAGCAGCCGC
Molecule: ribosomal RNA, 161 nt
Filed under: uncultured bacterium
Lineage: Bacteria
Description: partial 16S ribosomal RNA
Rfam family: Bacterial small subunit ribosomal RNA
Source: RNAcentral